GACAGCCCCAGAGAGGCUUGUGAAACACUUGCUGUGAAGAAAUAUUUCCAUUGAGAAAAAGUUCCCUGGUGCUCAUGCUCCCAGUGGCUCAGGCCUAGUCUGCACUCAGCGGCUGCCAGGACCUCCGGGGAGCGCCCACACACCCCACAGCCCGCCUGUCCUGGGAAUACCUCUCCAGGCCCUGAAUACCUGUCCCCCACUCCCUGCCUAGGACAACGGGGGCUGUCAGGGCCAUGGGCAGGCCCGCCCCACCAACCAGACCCUACGUGGGCUCCGCUUUGGUCCCGGAGCCAAUGUCUGGCUGAUCAGGGAACAAGAGGAGCCUUCAGCACCUCGAUUCUGGGACGGUUGAGGUUUUCACACCGGGCCACACCUGAGCCACUAGGAGCCGGGAGGCUCGGAUCGUCUGUCCGUCUGUCUCCCUCUGGAGACAGGGCUGACUUCGUUCCACAUCCACGCGGAAACAGCAGGGCUAUCUCAGUGCAAUCCUGGUUUUGUAUUCAGAGCCUCCUCUGAGUGAGUGCCAGGGUGCACCGUGGAAGGAGCCUGGCUUUGCCUACUGCAGUCCCAUGCCCUCA
Molecule: long non-coding RNA, 578 nt
Filed under: Pongo abelii (Sumatran orangutan)
Lineage: Eukaryota; Metazoa; Chordata; Mammalia; Primates; Hominidae
Description: lincRNA
Source: RNAcentral